UUCAUUUUUGUUGACCUCGAAUGAAGUUACCAAAAUACCCCUAUCUCUUGUGCAAUUUUAAAAAAAUAUCUAUUGGAUUUUUCUGUAAUUUUCCCUAAUAAACUUCAUUUCUUUAAAUUCCUUCCCUUUGUCGGUCAAGAACAGAGCACGAGGGGAGAGAGUGAGAGAAAUCCUGAAUCUAGAAAUUUCAAGCUUCUCUAUCUUCUCCAUCGGUCUUCUCCGUCUUCUUUGCCUAUUCCCAUAUGUCGUCGGUGUUGAUGAGUCUAGAAGCUUCAUCCGCCGCUGCUAAGAGUUUGAGCUGUGAGUUCUCCCAGUUCUCCCUCCUCUGUUUUCGACACUGUGAAAGGAUGCAUGGAACGUUCUUCUCCCUCUUCCUUGUGCAGUGUCGCAGGUUCUUUCUCCUCCUUCUCUGCUCACGUCGUUGCUGGUUCAAGAUACGUUAGCUGAUGUUGUGCCUUCCGCUAAUCCUUGAGGGGCUGUAAUAUUCAGUUGAGAUGAAAAGCUGAAAUCAAACUUCUUUAAAGUAAAUUUCUUAUGUCAGGUGCUCCACAGAAGCUAUAGUUAGGGUCCUCAUCCUUAUAAUUUAUACUGUGUUAUUUAAUGAUCGGAAGAGAAUUCCUUGCUGCUGCUACUGUUUUGUAAAAUAUUAAAUCUUUUGUUCAUAUGGUUUGUAUUGAGGAUGGCUUAAUUUAUU
Prosopis cineraria is the source of this 694-nucleotide long non-coding RNA. RefSeq lists it as uncharacterized. NCBI's taxonomy places the organism in Eukaryota, Viridiplantae, Streptophyta, Magnoliopsida, Fabales, Fabaceae. The record is from RefSeq and is a predicted model, not a curated record. The transcript has 3 exons.